AUUCAUGACUUCUUAUUUAGAGAGUUCUCUUAGAUCCAAAUAAAUCGGGCAAAUGCUUAAUUAAUUAGGUGAUUAGUUAUUAAUUCCAAUGUGCAAAAACACAGAGACUAAUCAUUAGUUCAAUGUUUAAAUUGAUCAAACAUGACUGAGGAAAAAUAAAUUUGUGAUCUAGGAGAACUCUCUAAAUAAGAAGUCAUGAAU
RNAcentral lists this unclassified non-coding RNA (201 nucleotides) under Hevea brasiliensis (rubber tree). Lineage: Eukaryota; Viridiplantae; Streptophyta; Magnoliopsida; Malpighiales; Euphorbiaceae. The record is from RNAcentral.